This 472-nucleotide ribosomal RNA is filed under the name uncultured bacterium. RNAcentral's name for it is "partial 16S ribosomal RNA". It matches the Rfam family "Bacterial small subunit ribosomal RNA", at positions 330 to 793 of the family's 1533-position model. The record is from RNAcentral.
GCCAGACUCCUACGGGAGGCAGCAGUAGGGAAUCUUCGGCAAUGGGCGAAAGCCUGACCGAGCAACGCCGCGUGAAUGAAGAAGGCCUUCGGGUUGUAAAGUUCUGUUAUAAGGGAAGAAAGGUGAUAGGAGGAAAUGACUAUCAAUUGACGGUACCUUAUGAGAAAGCCACGGCUAACUACGUGCCAGCAGCCGCGGUAAUACGGAAGGUCCGGGCGUUAUCCGGAUUUAUUGGGUUUAAAGGGAGCGUAGGCCGGCUUUUAAGUCAGCUGUGAAAGUCCGCGGCUCAACCGUGGAAUUGCAGUUGAAACUGGAGGCCUUGAGUGCACACAGGGAUGCCGGAAUUCAUGGUGUAGCGGUGAAAUGCUUAGAUAUCAUGAAGAACUCCGAUCGCGAAGGCAAGUGUCCGGGGUGCAACUGACGCUGAGGCUCGAAAGUGCGGGUAUCAAACAGGAUUAGAUACCCCAGUACG